UACGGCCACGUCACGUUGAAAAACCAGUUCCCGUACGAUCACCGAAGUUAAGCAAUGAUGAGCUUGGUCAGUAUCUAGAGGGAUGACCGCUUGCGAAUAACAGGUGCUGUAAG
This 113-nucleotide ribosomal RNA is filed under the name Acanthosepion pharaonis. Lineage: Eukaryota; Metazoa; Mollusca; Cephalopoda; Sepiida; Sepiidae. The record is from RNAcentral.